GGACCCGCACAAGUAGUGGAGCAUGUGGUUUAAUUCGAAGAUACGCGCAGAACCUUACCAACACUUGACAUGUUUGUCGCGACUCUAAGAGAUUGGAGUUUUCGGUUCGGCCGGACAAAACACAGGUGCUGCAUGGCUGUCGUCAGCUCGUGUCGUGAGAUGUUGGGUUAAGUCCGCAACGAGCGCAACCCUCACUUUUAGUUGCCAUCAUUUAGUUGGGCACUCUGAAAGAACUGCCAGUGAUAAGCUGGAGGAAGGUGGGAUGACGUCAAGUCCUCAUGGCCCUUACGUGUUGGGCUACACACGUGCUACAAUGGCCGGUACAGAGGGCAGCCACACCGCAAGGUGGAGCG
Molecule: ribosomal RNA, 353 nt
Filed under: uncultured bacterium
Lineage: Bacteria
Description: bacterial SSU rRNA
Rfam family: Bacterial small subunit ribosomal RNA
Source: RNAcentral